AGCGAACGCUGGCGGCAGGCUUAACACAUGCAAGUCGAGCGGGCCCUUCGGGGUCAGCGGCGGACGGGUGAGUAACGCGUGGGAACGUGCCUUCUGGUCUGGAAUAACCCUGGGAAACUAGGGCUAAUACCGGAUACGCCCUUUUGGGGAAGGUUUACUGCCGGAAGAUCGGCCCGCGUCUGAUUAGCUAGUUGGUGGGGUAACGGCCUACCAAGGCGACGAUCAGUAGCUGGUCUGAGAGGAUGAUCAGCCACACUGGGACUGAGACACGGCCCAGACUCCUACGGGAGGUAGCAGUGGGGAAUAUUGGACAAUGGGCGCAAGCCUGAUCCAGCCAUGCCGCGUGAGUGAUGAAGGCCUUAGGGUUGUAAAGCUCUUUUAUCCGGGACGAUAAUGACGGUACCGGAGGAAUAAGCCCCGGCUAACUUCGUG
Molecule: ribosomal RNA, 432 nt
Filed under: uncultured bacterium
Lineage: Bacteria
Description: partial 16S ribosomal RNA
Rfam family: Bacterial small subunit ribosomal RNA
Source: RNAcentral